This 553-nucleotide ribosomal RNA is filed under the name uncultured beta proteobacterium. RNAcentral describes it as "bacterial SSU rRNA". It matches the Rfam family "Bacterial small subunit ribosomal RNA", at positions 103 to 651 of the family's 1533-position model. Lineage: Bacteria; Pseudomonadati; Pseudomonadota; Betaproteobacteria. The record is from RNAcentral.
CGGGUGAGUAAUGCAUCGGAACGUGUCCUCUUGUGGGGGAUAACCAGUCGAAAGACUGUGUAAUACCGCAUGAGAUCGAGAGAUGAAAGGCGGGGGACCGCAAGGCCUCGCGCGAGAGGAGCGGCCGAUGCCCGAUUAGCUAGUUGGCGGGGUAAUGGCCCACCAAGGCGACGAUCGGUAGCUGGUAUGAGAGUACGACCAGCCACACUGGGACUGAGACACGGUCCAGACUCCUACGGGAGGCAGCAGUGGGGAAUUUUGGACAAUGGGGGCAACCCUGAUCCAGCCAUGCCGCGUGUGUGAAGAAGGCCUUCGGGUUGUAAAGCACUUUCGGACGGAACGAAAUCGCGCGGGCGAACAUCCCGCGUGGAUGACGGUACCGUAAGAAGAAGCACCGGCUAACUACGUGCCAGCAGCCGCGGUAAUACGUAGGGUGCGAGCGUUAAUCGGACUUACUGGGCGUAAAGUGUGCGCAGGCGGACGCGCAAGUCGAGUGUGAAAGCCCCGGGCUUAACUUGGGAAUUGCGCUCGAAACUACGUGGCUGGAGUGUGG